CACACCGCCCGUCACACCACGAAAGUGAGGUGCAACCAAAACCGGUGAUUGAACCCGCAAGGGACAUAGCCGACAAAGUUGUGACUCAUGAUUGGGGUG
Molecule: ribosomal RNA, 99 nt
Filed under: uncultured bacterium
Lineage: Bacteria
Description: partial 16S ribosomal RNA
Rfam family: Bacterial small subunit ribosomal RNA
Source: RNAcentral